GAAUGAGGUUAUUCCAUGUUCCUGAUGGAGGUUAUUCCAUGUUCCUGAUGAAUGAGGUUAUUCCAUGUUCCUGAUGGAGGUUAUUACAUGUUCCUGAUGAAUGAGGUUAUUACAUGUUCCUGGUGGAGGUUAUUCCAUGUUCCUGAUGAAU
Oncorhynchus keta (chum salmon) is the source of this 151-nucleotide long non-coding RNA. RefSeq lists it as uncharacterized. The transcript is spliced from 3 exons. NCBI's taxonomy places the organism in Eukaryota, Metazoa, Chordata, Actinopteri, Salmoniformes, Salmonidae. The record is from RefSeq and is a predicted model, not a curated record.